AUUGAACGCUGGCGGCAGGCUUAACACAUGCAAGUCGAGCGGGGUGAUGGUGCUUGCACUAUCACUUAGCGGCGGACGGGUGAGUAAUGCUUAGGAAUCUGCCUAUUAGUGGGGGACAACAUCUCGAAAGGGAUGCUAAUACCGCAUACGUCCUACGGGAGAACGCAGGGGAUCACUUGUGACCUUGCGCUAACAGAUGAGCCUAAGUCGGAUAAGCUAGUCGGGGGGGUAAAGGCCAACAAAGGCGAGGGUCUGUAGCGGGUCUGAGAGGAUGAUCCGCCACACUGGGACUGAAACACGGCCCAGACUCCUACGGGAGGCAGCAGUGGGGAAUAUUGGACAAUGGGGAACCCUGAUCCAGCCAUGCCACGUGUGUGAAGAAGGCCUUAUGGUUGUAAAGCACUUUAAGCGAGGAGGAGGCUCUUUUGGUUAAUACCCAAGAUGAGUGGACGUUACUCGCAGAAUAAGCACCGGCUAACUCUGUGCCAGCAGCCGCCGUAA
This 501-nucleotide ribosomal RNA is filed under the name uncultured bacterium. Its description in RNAcentral is "partial 16S ribosomal RNA". It matches the Rfam family "Bacterial small subunit ribosomal RNA", at positions 30 to 523 of the family's 1533-position model. The record is from RNAcentral.